AUCCUUUUGUAGUUCAUGAGCAUGAUGAUUGGGUGUUCACACGCAUGUGUGAGAUGUGCCACCCUCAAACCUUGUUACAAUGUUGGCACAUUACCCACCUGACC
Small nucleolar RNA from Nomascus leucogenys (northern white-cheeked gibbon), 104 nucleotides. The record is from Ensembl. NCBI's taxonomy places the organism in Eukaryota, Metazoa, Chordata, Mammalia, Primates, Hylobatidae.